UACGUAGGGUGCAAGCGUUGUCCGGAAUUAUUGGGCGUAAAGAGCUCGUAGGCGGUUUGUUGCGUCGGCUGUGAAAACCUGAGGCUCAACCUCAGGCCUGCAGUCGAUACGAGCAGACUAGAGUGUUGCAGGGGAGACUGGAAUUCCUGGUGUAGCGGUGAAAUGCGCGGAUAUCAGGAGGAACACCGGUGGCGAAGGCGGGUCUCUGGGCCGAUACUGACGCUGAGGAGCGAAAGCGUGGGGAGCGAACAGG
This 253-nucleotide ribosomal RNA is filed under the name uncultured bacterium. RNAcentral describes it as "partial 16S ribosomal RNA". It matches the Rfam family "Bacterial small subunit ribosomal RNA", at positions 524 to 776 of the family's 1533-position model. The record is from RNAcentral.